UCCCUGCCGUUUGGAGUGCUCUGCCUCUGCCUCAUGCAAAAAGCAGGUCAUCCUCAAAACUCCAAAAGUAAAAUACCCAUUCGAAAAAUUGAAAUUCCAAAAUCUUUCUAACUUCAAAGAAAUUUCAUCAAAUGGUGAAAGCAUGAAUAUCCAAAUCUUGCUAGGAUUUAAGACGCAUCAUCGUCGUUGAGGCUAGGAUUUUCGGUGGGUACUGGGUUUGAGGGCUUUUCUGAUAGUCGAUCAUCCCGCUCUACAUCCGGUCGUUUGUGUAAGAUUUUCUAGGAGUAUGAGAAUAAGUUUGGUGGGUAUGAAUAUGAAAGUUUUGAUCACUACGAGUAGUGGGUAGGCCAUAAAUGAUGGGUUCGAGGGUUUAAAUUUCUCAUAUCCGCCUACCCCACUCCAUAUCCGUCUAAGAUUUGUCCGGACGGCUUAAAUUAACGCUUAGAAUUAGAAACGCAGUGAAUCGAUUUGUUAAAAAUGGAGAACGAACAUUUAAACCCUAAGUUUUGAAAAACUAAAUAAAAAUACGAAAUUUCAUCAAUGAAGUCUAAGAUAUGAAAAUUUGUACCCUGAAAAUGGAAAAUCUGUAACUUCGCAAGAAUGAAAGCUAGAAAUAAAAACGGGUCGGGUCGGAUUGGGCUGGGUUUUAAAGCCCAGUCCAUUUUCAACCCAUUUUCAUUUUACAAGGCCCAAUGCAACCCAGGUCCAUCUUUGUUUGAACCCGAUCCGGCCCUUAUCAAGCCCUUUGAACACCUCUUAUUUGGACCUUGGCGUCAUUGUAUAUGUAUUCCAUGAGUUAGUGAGUUCAUUCUUUCAAACUAGUCGAGUCGUUUUUAGAUUGGGUUGAAUGCCCAACUUGUGUUGAUUGAAGUAGAAGAUCCUCACUUUUGGAAAUAUGACUUUAAUUUUGUGUUGGAUUUUUGUAUUGUAAGCUGGCACAAGCUCUUCGAAAUUUCCUCAUCGCGACUUGUCUACUAGCUUGAGAUUCAUUUUGAAAGAUUAAAUGCCCCUCUACAGAAAGAUGCACAAAAUGGUGUAUCUUUAACCUUCGCAAUAUUCGUGUUAUUGUUGGCUAAAGAAUCCACUCUAUCUCAUUUACGUGUAUGAUUGCGUGUUAUAGACACCAAGCUAUAUUUGAUUGUUGUGCUUCAUCUUGAACUGAUAAUGUCGUGUGCGGAGUCUACUAAUUAUCUGAUCCAAUAUUGAAUAUGAUUUAAAGUCGAGUUGUUUCUUGGGUCACUUUAGGGAUAGUUGCUGCUUUGAUGCCAUAUGUUGGUGGAGAAAGUGGUUAACUUUGAUACAGAAGAUCCUCAUCCCAGAAAUAGCUUAAUUUUGUGUGAGAACUUGGAUGCUUUUCUUCUAAAAUAUCAUAGACCCCCUAAAAAUUUCAAGUAUUGUUUGGACAGAGGCCGCGCGUACGCAGGCCCCCACUAUCACAAAUUAUGACGUAGACUCUCCCAUUUGGGGAGAUCUUAGGCUGCUGCUCCUCCUUAAAGUGCAAUGGAAGUCAACAACCUAGGCCAUAAGCCUAUUUGAUCACUUAUAGACCCCAUCCAGAGGGAGAUGCACAAAAAAAGGUUCAUCCUCGUUUAUGUACAUGAUCAUGGGUUGUAGAUAGACUCCAAGCAACAACUGAGCGUUGUUCUUCAUCUUGAACUGAUGUUGUGCGACGUUUCUUCUCAGUACUGUAAACAGCUCCAACAGUUUAAAAGCUGAACAAUACCAAUUGUUGGAUGCUUCAGAGGCUGAAUAUUUUUUAAAAAGGCAAGAGUUUUGGAUACUGGAAGAUGUGAAGCUGAACGAGAAACCAGAAGGCGUGUGACAUUGAGACCUUCUGAGGAGAUCAGGAGAAUAUUGAGAGAGCAGAUGAGUAUACUUUAUGCUGAUACUGUACGUGUAAAAGUGAUACCACCAUACCAGAAGAAAGGAACCGAUUUCUGCAAUGUAAAACAGAAACAUUAGAGGCCGCGCGAACGCAGGCCCCCACUACCACAAAUUAUGACGUAGACUCUCCCAUUUGAGGAGAUCUUAGGCUGCUGCCCCUCCUUAAAGUGCAAUGGAAGUCAACAACCUAGGCCAUAAGCCUAUUUGAUCACUUAUAGACCCCGUCCAGAGAGGAGAUGCACAAAAAAGGUUGAUCCUCGUUUAUGUACAUGAUCAUGGGUUGUAGAUAGACUCCAAGCAACAUUUGAGCGUUGGGCUUCAUCUUGAACUGAUGUUGUGCGACAUUUCUUCUCAGUACUGUAAACAGCUCCAACAGUUUAAAAGCUGAACAAUACCAAUUCUUGGAUGCUUCAGAUGCUGAAUAUUUUUUAAAAAGGCAAGAGUUUUGGAUACUGGAGCGGUGAGUAUUUCUGCUAAUUUUGUUCCUGAUCUUGAAAUAUUGAUAUUGGAUAACAUCUUGCCACAUAGGGCCAAUUUAAACUGUAAACAGCUCCAACAAGGAAAUUUCUUGGAUGCCUCAAAAUCUGAAUAGCUUCAGAGAAGUAUUUUGUGCAGUCCUGUUUGUGUUUGAAGUGGGGUUAGCUCUUCCAUCUCUAAUAUAGCCUUAAGCAGUAACGGAGUUCCAGAAGUUCUUUUUACAUUGUAUUAUUUCUCGUUUUUCGGGAUUACGUACGCUCCUCCGUCCUAGACUUCGUGAAAGGAUGAUUAUUAAUGAGGCAUGACGUUUUGGAUUUAGGCGAGAUGCAAUAGUUUAUCUUUUGAGGUAAAGGAGGUGUUAUGAAUAUAGCAUUGCCGGUCCAAUCAAUGAGGUGAUUCCCGUUUCUGACCUAGUCACUCAGAAGCUUCCUUGAUUGUGUAUGAAGUACCUGUUCAUGUUACAAAGCCCAAUUUAUCAAUCUUUAUCCUCAUAUGCGACAUAGCGCCUUUUUGUUCUCAUUUCUCAACCUUCUUUGUUUCAAGGCUUCCAACUUCUUCUGAUGUUUUGAUCCUGCCUUAUGUUCUCAUCCUGAACGAACAUGAAGUGUGGAGUCUACUUGCUAUUAGGAUUUAAUGUGUUUUCUUAUCCCAAACCAUAUGUGAAACAGUGAUCUGAGUGCAAGCAAACAAAUAAAAAGAGAUUUAUGAAUGCUUUGAUACUCAUACCUUUCUCGGCCUUUUGGCUAAGAUCAAGUGUA
This is a long non-coding RNA of Amaranthus tricolor (Joseph's coat), 3119 nucleotides long. RefSeq lists it as uncharacterized. The record is from RefSeq and is a predicted model, not a curated record. The transcript has 6 exons. Lineage: Eukaryota; Viridiplantae; Streptophyta; Magnoliopsida; Caryophyllales; Amaranthaceae.